CCUACGGGAGGCAGCAGUGGGGAAUAUUGGACAAUGGGGGGGAACCCUGAUCCAGCCAUGCCGCGUGUGUGAAGAAGGCCCUCGGGUUGUAAAGCACUUUCAGUGAGGAAGAACGCCUGGUGGUUAAUACCCAUCAGGAAAGACAUCACUCACAGAAGAAGCACCGGCUAACUCCGUGCCAGCAGCCGCGGUAAUACGGAGGGUGCGAGCGUUAAUCGGAAUUACUGGGCGUAAAGCGCGCGUAGGUGGCUUGAUAAGCCGGUUGUGAAAGCCCCGGGCUCAACCUGGGAACGGCAUCCGGAACUGUCAAGCUAGAGUGCAGGAGAGGAAGGUAGAAUUCCCGGUGUAGCGGUGAAAUGCGUAGAGAUCGGGAGGAAUACCAGUGGCGAAGGCGGCCUUCUGGACUGACACUGACACUGAGGUGCGAAAGCGUGGGUAGCAAACAGGAUUAGAUACCCUGGUAGUC
RNAcentral lists this ribosomal RNA (466 nucleotides) under Vreelandella stevensii. RNAcentral's name for it is "partial 16S ribosomal RNA". It matches the Rfam family "Bacterial small subunit ribosomal RNA", at positions 338 to 795 of the family's 1533-position model. The record is from RNAcentral. Lineage: Bacteria; Pseudomonadati; Pseudomonadota; Gammaproteobacteria; Oceanospirillales; Halomonadaceae.